UCGCCUGACGAUGAGCCCGCGUCCCAUUAGCUAGUUGGUGAGGUAACGGCUCACCAAGGCGGAGAUGGGUAGCUGGUCUGAGAGGAUGAUCAGCCACACUGGGACUGAGACACGGCCCAGACUCCUACGGGAGGCAGCAGUCGGGAAUUUUGGGCAAUGGGCGAAAGCCUGACCCAGCAACGCCGCGUGAGCGAUGAAGGCCUUCGGGUUGUAAAGCUCUGUGGGGGGAGACGAAUAAGGUGCAGCUAAUACCUGCAUCGAUGACGGUAUCCCCUUAGCAAGCACCGGCUAACUCUGUGCCAGCAGCCGCGGUAAGACAGAGGGUGCAAACGUUGUUCGGAAUUACUGGGCGUAAAGCGCGUGUAUGCGGCUGCGUGUGUCGGGCGUGAAAUCCCAUGGCUCAACCAUGGAAGUGCACCCGAAACUGCGCAGCUAGAGUCCUGUAGAGGAAAGUGGAAUGCUUGGUGUAGAGGUGAAAUUCGUAGAUAUCAAGCGGAACACCGGUGGCGAAAGCGGCCUUCUUGGACAGUGACUGACGCUGAGACGCGAAAGCGUGGGGAGCAACAGGAUUAGAUACCCUGUUAGUCCACGCGUAACGAUGGAGUGCUAGUGUCACGGCCUUUGACCCUCGUGAUGCCGAAGCUACGCCGUUAAGCACUCCGCCUGGGGGUUACCGCCGCAGGCUAAAACUCCAAGGAAAUUGACUGGGCCCGGCACAAACGGUGAAGCAUGUUGUUUUAUUUCCAACGC
RNAcentral lists this ribosomal RNA (750 nucleotides) under uncultured delta proteobacterium. RNAcentral describes it as "bacterial SSU rRNA". It matches the Rfam family "Bacterial small subunit ribosomal RNA", at positions 215 to 959 of the family's 1533-position model. The record is from RNAcentral. Lineage: Bacteria; Deltaproteobacteria.